RNAcentral lists this ribosomal RNA (468 nucleotides) under uncultured bacterium. RNAcentral describes it as "partial 16S ribosomal RNA". It matches the Rfam family "Bacterial small subunit ribosomal RNA", at positions 28 to 507 of the family's 1533-position model. The record is from RNAcentral.
GACGAACGCUGGCGGCGUGCUUAACACAUGCAAGUCGAACGGAAAGGCCCUGCUUUUGUGGGGUGCUCGAGUGGCGAACGGGUGAGUAACACGUGAGUAACCUGCCCUUGACUUUGGGAUAACUUCAGGAAACUGGGGCUAAUACCGGAUAGGAGCUCCUGCUGCAUGGUGGGGGUUGGAAAGUUUCGGCGGUUGGGGAUGGACGCGCGGCUUAUCAGCUUGUUGGUGGGGUGGUGGCUUACCAAGGCUUUGACGGGUAGCCGGCCUGAGAGGGUGACCGGCCACAUUAGGACUGAGAUGAGGCCCAGACUCCUACGGGAGGCAGCAGUGGGGAAUAGUACACAAUGGGCGGAAGCCUGAUGCAGCAACGCCGCGUGCGGGAUAACGGCCUUCGGGUUGUAAACCGCUAUCGCCUGUGACGAAGCGUGAGUGACGGUAAUGGGUAAAGAAGCACCGGCUAACUACGUG